GGGGCUGAACGGUUUCGACUUUGGACGACUGAUCCAGGAGAAGCGGGCCGAGGAGCCAGGGUCAUCUCGUAAACGAUCCUUGGAAACCAACAAGUGCCAACGCUAAGCGCACUGACUUCGCUCUCGCUGCCUGAGGCAGCCAGCGAAGGGUCAGCCUGGGAGUGCCUCCGUCCCAGUAGCUGGCCUCAUCUAGGAGGCUCACCGAUCAGAUCCGGCCGCGGGGCCUGAUCGGGACACUGACAGCGGCUGAGCCUGUCGGCAACGUGUCUGUGCGAGUGCCGGGGCUGAGAAAAGCGACCAGCGGACUGCGCCCGGAGAAGUCCUGAGUCACCGCCAGAGGACGCGGGUUCGAUUCCCGCCAGCUCCACGU
This 370-nucleotide transfer-messenger RNA is filed under the name Nocardioidaceae bacterium. It matches the Rfam family "transfer-messenger RNA". From Rfam's summary of the family: Bacterial tmRNA, also known as 10Sa RNA or SsrA, is named for its dual tRNA and mRNA-like properties. Its role is to liberate the mRNA from a stalled ribosome. The record is from RNAcentral. Lineage: Bacteria; Bacillati; Actinomycetota; Actinomycetes; Propionibacteriales; Nocardioidaceae. RNAcentral also lists the same sequence under 2 other names.